This is an RNA transcript of Arachis duranensis, 3623 nucleotides long. It is a transcript of the gene named protein FLOWERING LOCUS D, with no coding region annotated. The record is from RefSeq and is a predicted model, not a curated record. The transcript has 7 exons. NCBI's taxonomy places the organism in Eukaryota, Viridiplantae, Streptophyta, Magnoliopsida, Fabales, Fabaceae.
UUUACUCGUUAAAAAUCCAUCUCCGUGCCCAGUGGCGUUUCCAGUGUGUGAGCCGCCGUUGGUCCGUCAGACAUUGAACAAUGGUGACGGCAUACGGAUGAGCUAUUGAGCCAUGUGCAUACUGGAAUUUCGGUCACAAAUAUGAAACACCACUUUUAUUUCCAUCAUCUGUGAAAUUCGUCCAUCUUUGUAAGAGGAAGAAAAAAAAUAAAAAAAAUAAAAACGUUAAAUUAAAAUUAUAGCACUGCGAGAUGGAUUCCCCAUCCGAAUUUUCUUCCUUCCCUCCAUCCCAGACCCAGUUGCCUCCUCAACAAAACCCUAACCCUAUCGUUUUCUUGGAUCCCAACUCCGAUUCCUUCCCAAACUGGGCUGAAAACCCUAACCCUAACUUGCAGAACUAUCUUUCCUUCACCGUCCCCAAGAAGAGGAGGCGCGGCAGGUCCCAACGCAACCCGGCGUCGUUUCGCAUCCCUCUCGACCCCAAUGACGCUUCCAAUUCUAACAACAACAACAACAACGGUUUUUCGUCUUCCGCUGCGGCAGUCCCCGUUUCGGCUCCUUUGUCGAAAGUCGUCAUCGGAAACCCGCCGCCGCCGCUGUCGAUGUCGAUGCAGUACUCGGUGCCUGACAAUUCCGAUGAGAUUAUUGUGAUCAACAAGGAGCCGAAGACUGAAGCCUUGAUUGCCCUCAGCGCCGGGUUUCCAGCCGAUUCGCUAACCGAGGAGGAGAUCGAAGCGGGGGUUCUCCCGGUCAUCGGAGGGAUAGAGCAGGUGAACUACACUCUCAUUAGGAACCAUAUAAUUGCCAAAUGGCGCGAGAAUGUGUCCCAGUGGGUCUCGAAGGAGAUGUUUGUUGACUACAUACCUCAGCAUUACCACGCUCUUCUUGACUCCGCUUAUAACUACCUCGUCUCGCAUGGAUACAUCAAUUUUGGAGUUGCACCCUUGAUUAAGGAAAAAAUUCCAUUGGAAAUGAGUAAACCGGGCGUGAUCAUCAUCGGCGCUGGCCUGGCCGGAUUGGCGGCUGCUAGGCAGCUGAUGCGGUUUGGCUUUAAAGUAACGGUCUUGGAAGGGAGGAAGCGCGCCGGCGGACGAGUUUAUACGAAGAAGAUGGAGGGAGGGAAUAGGGUGUGUGCAGCUGCGGAUUUGGGCGGGAGUGUUUUAACUGGUACCUUAGGGAAUCCUCUUGGCAUUGUAGCAAGGCAGUUAGGUGAUGUGCUUCAUAAGGUAAGGGAUAAGUGUCCACUUUAUAGUCUCGAUGGAAAGCCAGUUGACCCUGAUAUGGACGUAAAGGUGGAAAAUGCGUUUAACCGUUUGCUUGACAAGGCAAGCAGGCUUAGACAGUUGAUGGGGGAGGUAUCUAUGGAUGUGUCCCUUGGUGCGGCAUUGGAAACGUUUAGGCAAGUGUACAAGGAUGCGGUGAAUGAUGAGGAGAUGAACUUGUUUAAUUGGCAUCUAGCCAAUUUGGAGUAUGCGAAUGCCGGUUUGUUGUCCCAUCUUUCGCUAGCGUUUUGGGAUCAAGAUGAUCCAUAUGAUAUGGGAGGGGAUCAUUGCUUUUUGCCUGGAGGAAAUGGGAAGUUAGUUCAAGCUUUGGCCGAGAACGUGUCUAUUCUAUAUGAGAAAACUGUACAUACUGUUAGAUACAGUGGUGAUGGAGUGCAGGUUAUUGCAGGAAAUCAGGUCUUUGAGGGUGAUAUGGCAUUGUGCACUGUUCCACUAGGAGUGUUAAAGAAGGGCUCCAUCAAAUUUAUACCUGAGUUGCCUCAAAGAAAACUUGAUGGAAUAAAAAGAUUGGGUUUUGGUCUACUGAAUAAGGUUGCUAUGCUUUUUCCUCAUGUAUUCUGGGAGACGGAUCUUGACACUUUUGGACACCUUACUGAUGAUCCAAGUCGCCGUGGGGAGUUUUUUCUGUUCUACAGUUAUGCCCCAGUUGCUGGUGGUCCACUGUUGAUUGCUUUAGUGGCAGGGGAAGCUGCACAUAAGUUCGAGAGCAUGCCCCCAACAGAUGCAGUCACACGUGUUCUUCAAAUUCUCAAGGGUAUCUAUGAACCAAAAGGAAUUAGUGUUCCUGAACCCAUCCAAACUGUCUGUACUAGAUGGGGAAACGAUCCUUUCUGCUUUGGUUCUUAUUCUAAUGUUGCAGUUGGAGCUUCCGGGGAUGAUUAUGAUAUUUUAGCAGAAACUGUUGGGGAUGGUAGACUUUUCUUUGCUGGGGAGGCAACCACUAGGCGCUAUCCUGCUACCAUGCAUGGGGCUUUUCUUAGUGGUCUUAGAGAAGCAGCAAAUAUGGCUCACUAUGCUGAUAUUCGAUCCCGAAGAUUGAAGGUUGACAGGGCUCCUUCAAAUGCUUAUUCUUGUGCUUCCCUUCUUGCCGACUUAUUUAGAGAACCUGAUAUAGAAUUUGGAAGCUUUUCUGCCAUUUUUGCUCGGAAGAAUGCAGACUCCAAGUCACCAGCAAUCUUGCGGGUAACAUUUAGUGAGCAUAGAAAGAAGAGUCAUGAAGUUGCAAAACAAGACCAACAACAGCACUCAAACAAAUUGCUUUUUCAGCAGCUUCAGUCACAUUUUAAUCAGCAGCAGCAGCUUCAUGUUUACACUCUACUAUCAAGGCAACAGAUUCUUGACCUAAGAGAAGUAAGAGGAGGUGAUGAAAUGAGAUUGAAUUACCUUUGUGAAAAGAUAGGAGUGAAGUUGGUGGGAAGAAAAGGCUUGGGGCCUAGUGGUGAUUCUGUCAUUGCUUCCAUUAAAGCUGAAAGGGGCAAUCGGAAACCUCUUUCAACAUCUGCGAUUAUUAAACCAGGGGUAUCGAAACUAAAAGCCGGCAUUAUUAAGCGAAAGCUAAUCAGGAAGGCGAAAGUGGUGAAGAAAACCCAUGGAUCCUUACUGCACACUAGCACAAAUGUGGUGAAUACCACUAAAGUAACGGAAGAGAAUAGGACAGAUCAAGCACUUCCUGGUGUGCCUGUUUUAGGUAACUCCCAAAGUGGCUUGUCAAAUCCGUGAAGCGAGCACCUAUAUUCAUCCAGGAGGGUGCAAUUUCAUUAGAGAUCUUGAUGACAAUGUCAGAGCGUGCUGGCUUUCAAAUGAAAAAAGGGUAUCUUUCUACGGGACAUUGUUUUGCCAAGACAGGCACCAGUAGUAUGUCAAAUUUCAUUCAUCAACCUUGAGCUAACUAGCAUCCUACUUUGAGGGUGGAAAAAAUACCAAAACAAAACAAAAGGAGUCGCCCUUGAUGAGAACCACAAGCUUACAUCAUAGUGGGCGUCAACAAAUAAAACGGAGGAAGUAAAGGCAGGUGGGCGAUGAAGCCAGUUUGUUUUUCUUUUUUAAGUGUGCAACUGGUGCUGGGGUGUUUCGGAGAUGUGUAUGAGAUACUUGGACAAAUGAAGGUGGGAAUAGUGGUUCUUCUAGAAUACAUCACUCACCGUUUAAGUCAAGUUCAAUGAUAAUUUAGUCAUUGGUAUUUAUUCCAUAGAAAAUGUUAGGAUUAAAGUAGUGUGUGCUCCAUUUCCAUAGUAGGGAUUCAAUCAUUUUUUUUCCUGUAUGUAAGGAUUUGAUUAAUUUUUAACCGAUAAAAACUUGAUUGCAAUUAAAUUAUGAUUAAUUCUGUAUAAUAUUUUUCUU